UCCGUAGUAGAAAACCAGGUUAAUUUCAAUGAUGAAAUCCGGGUUCAACUCCCGGCUACGGAA
Non-coding RNA from Vigna angularis (adzuki bean), 63 nucleotides. Lineage: Eukaryota; Viridiplantae; Streptophyta; Magnoliopsida; Fabales; Fabaceae. The record is from Rfam.